GAUGAACGCUAGCGGCAGGCCUAACACAUGUAAGUCGAGGGGCAGCACAGAAACAGCAAUGUUUUGGUGGCGACCGGCGGACGGGUGCGUAACGCGUAUGCAACCUACCUUUAACAGGGGGAUAACGGAGAGAAAUUUCCACUAAUACCCCAUAACAUCGAUCAAGGCAUCUUGAUUGGUUGAAAACUCCGGUGGUUAAAGAUGGGCAUGCGUUGUAUUAGGUAGUUGGUGAGGUAAUGGCUCACCAAGCCUACGAUACAUAGGGGGACUGAGAGGUUAGCCCCCCACACUGGUACUGAGACACGGACCAGACUCCUACGGGAGGCAGCAGUGAGGAAUAUUGGUCAAUGGGGGCAACCCUGAACCAGCCAUGCCGCAUGCAGGAAGACGGCUCUAUGAGUUGUAAACUGCUUUUAAACAGGGAUAAAGCACAGUAUGUAUACUGUGUUGAAGGUACUGUAAGAAUAAGGAUCGGCUAACUCCGUGCCAGCCGCCGCAGUAA
RNAcentral lists this ribosomal RNA (502 nucleotides) under uncultured bacterium. Its description in RNAcentral is "partial 16S ribosomal RNA". It matches the Rfam family "Bacterial small subunit ribosomal RNA", at positions 28 to 523 of the family's 1533-position model. The record is from RNAcentral.